GAUGAACGCUGGCGGCGUGCCUAAUACAUGCAAGUCGAGCGAACAGACGAGGAGCUUGCUCCUCUGACGUUAGCGGCGGACGGGUGAGUAACACGUGGAUAACCUACCUAUAAGACUGGGAUAACUUCGGGAAACCGGAGCUAAUACCGGAUGAUAUAUUGAACCGCAUGGUUCAAUAGUGAAAGACGGUUUUGCUGUCACUUAUAGAUGGAUCCGCGCCGCAUUAGCUAGUUGGUAAGGUAACGUCUUACCAAGGCAACGAUGCGUAGCCGACCUGAGAGGGUGAUCGGCCACACUGGAACUGAGACACGGUCCAGACUCCUACGGGAGGCAGCAGUAGGGAAUCUUCCGCAAUGGGCGAAAGCUUGACGGAGCAACGCCGCGUGAGUGAUGAAGGUCUUCGGAUCGUAAAACUCUGUUAUUAGGGAAGAACAAAUGUGUAAGUAACUAUGCACGUCUUGACGGUACCUAAUCAGAAAGCCACGGCUAACUACGUG
Molecule: ribosomal RNA, 497 nt
Filed under: uncultured bacterium
Lineage: Bacteria
Description: partial 16S ribosomal RNA
Rfam family: Bacterial small subunit ribosomal RNA
Source: RNAcentral